RNAcentral lists this ribosomal RNA (2190 nucleotides) under Staphylococcus aureus. RNAcentral describes it as "bacterial LSU rRNA". It matches the Rfam family "Bacterial large subunit ribosomal RNA", at positions 14 to 2202 of the family's 2925-position model. The record is from RNAcentral. Lineage: Bacteria; Bacillati; Bacillota; Bacilli; Caryophanales; Staphylococcaceae.
AGGGCGCACGGUGGAUGCCUUGGCACUAGAAGCCGAUGAAGGACGUUACUAACGACGAUAUGCUUUGGGGAGCUGUAAGUAAGCUUUGAUCCAGAGAUUUCCGAAUGGGGAAACCCAGCAUGAGUUAUGUCAUGUUAUCGAUAUGUGAAUACAUAGCAUAUCAGAAGGCACACCCGGAGAACUGAAACAUCUUAGUACCCGGAGGAAGAGAAAGAAAAUUCGAUUCCCUUAGUAGCGGCGAGCGAAACGGGAAGAGCCCAAACCAACAAGCUUGCUUGUUGGGGUUGUAGGACACUCUAUACGGAGUUACAAAGGACGACAUUAGACGAAUCAUCUGGAAAGAUGAAUCAAAGAAGGUAAUAAUCCUGUAGUCGAAAAUGUUGUCUCUCUUGAGUGGAUCCUGAGUACGACGGAGCACGUGAAAUUCCGUCGGAAUCUGGGAGGACCAUCUCCUAAGGCUAAAUACUCUCUAGUGACCGAUAGUGAACCAGUACCGUGAGGGAAAGGUGAAAAGCACCCCGGAAGGGGAGUGAAAUAGAACCUGAAACCGUGUGCUUACAAGUAGUCAGAGCCCGUUAAUGGGUGAUGGCGUGCCUUUUGUAGAAUGAACCGGCGAGUUACGAUUUGAUGCAAGGUUAAGCAGUAAAUGUGGAGCCGUAGCGAAAGCGAGUCUGAAUAGGGCGUUUAGUAUUUGGUCGUAGACCCGAAACCAGGUGAUCUACCCUUGGUCAGGUUGAAGUUCAGGUAACACUGAAUGGAGGACCGAACCGACUUACGUUGAAAAGUGAGCGGAUGAACUGAGGGUAGCGGAGAAAUUCCAAUCGAACCUGGAGAUAGCUGGUUCUCUCCGAAAUAGCUUUAGGGCUAGCCUCAAGUGAUGAUUAUUGGAGGUAGAGCACUGUUUGGACGAGGGGCCCCUCUCGGGUUACCGAAUUCAGACAAACUCCGAAUGCCAAUUAAUUUAACUUGGGAGUCAGAACAUGGGUGAUAAGGUCCGUGUUCGAAAGGGAAACAGCCCAGACCACCAGCUAAGGUCCCAAAAUAUAUGUUAAGUGGAAAAGGAUGUGGCGUUGCCCAGACAACUAGGAUGUUGGCUUAGAAGCAGCCAUCAUUUAAAGAGUGCGUAAUAGCUCACUAGUCGAGUGACACUGCGCCGAAAAUGUACCGGGGCUAAACAUAUUACCGAAGCUGUGGAUUGUCCUUUGGACAAUGGUAGGAGAGCGUUCUAAGGGCGUUGAAGCAUGAUCGUAAGGACAUGUGGAGCGCUUAGAAGUGAGAAUGCCGGUGUGAGUAGCGAAAGACGGGUGAGAAUCCCGUCCACCGAUUGACUAAGGUUUCCAGAGGAAGGCUCGUCCGCUCUGGGUUAGUCGGGUCCUAAGCUGAGGCCGACAGGCGUAGGCGAUGGAUAACAGGUUGAUAUUCCUGUACCACCUAUAAUCGUUUUAAUCGAUGGGGGGACGCAGUAGGAUAGGCGAAGCGUGCGAUUGGAUUGCACGUCUAAGCAGUAAGGCUGAGUAUUAGGCAAAUCCGGUACUCGUUAAGGCUGAGCUGUGAUGGGGAGAAGACAUUGUGUCUUCGAGUCGUUGAUUUCACACUGCCGAGAAAAGCCUCUAGAUAGAAAAUAGGUGCCCGUACCGCAAACCGACACAGGUAGUCAAGAUGAGAAUUCUAAGGUGAGCGAGCGAACUCUCGUUAAGGAACUCGGCAAAAUGACCCCGUAACUUCGGGAGAAGGGGUGCUCUUUAGGGUUAACGCCCAGAAGAGCCGCAGUGAAUAGGCCCAAGCGACUGUUUAUCAAAAACACAGGUCUCUGCUAAACCGUAAGGUGAUGUAUAGGGGCUGACGCCUGCCCGGUGCUGGAAGGUUAAGAGGAGUGGUUAGCUUCUGCGAAGCUACGAAUCGAAGCCCCAGUAAACGGCGGCCGUAACUAUAACGGUCCUAAGGUAGCGAAAUUCCUUGUCGGGUAAGUUCCGACCCGCACGAAAGGCGUAACGAUUUGGGCACUGUCUCAACGAGAGACUCGGUGAAAUCAUAGUACCUGUGAAGAUGCAGGUUACCCGCGACAGGACGGAAAGACCCCGUGGAGCUUUACUGUAGCCUGAUAUUGAAAUUCGGCACAGCUUGUACAGGAUAGGUAGGAGCCUUUGAAACGUGAGCGCUAGCUUACGUGGAGGCGCUGGUGGGAUACUA